AUUCCUAUAGUACAUUUAAUAAUGGGAAAAUGAUAUCAAAAUAAUAUCCAGAAAAAUGUAUAUUCUUGUAUAUUUUUUGUAUAUAUACAUUCUGCAUAUUAUAUACAAAAAUCAUACAAAUUUUAUACACUUUUCGGCUAUCGAAUGUACAUAAUUUCUGGGCGCGGGCUAAAAGUGAAAAAAACCCUUUAAUAAUGUGCAAAUCUUAGUUGAUAAUUUAAAGUAGAGUCUUAACUUCUAUACGUAAAAGAAUUUUUAGACAAUUAGUUAGGUCGAAAAUAAUAUAAGUACAAUGUAACUGUACUUAAUAAGUGGAACUAGUUAUCUAAAAGGUCAAAUAGUAACAUGUUACGACAUUUUAAAUUAUACUAAUAGUGUGAAAAUUAUAUUUGCAGAAGAUGCUGUAGUUGCGGAAAAAGAUGAUCAUGCAGUGGCUGGUAACAGAGAUGACGGUUAUGGUUACGGCUAUGGUGGACAAGGUGGUUACGGCUAUGGCUGGGGAGGCGGCGGCUAUGGUGGACGUGGCGGUGGCAGCUGGGGAGGACGUGGAGGCGGCGGCUGGGGAGGUGGCGGCUGCCGAUAUGGUUGCUGUGGACACAGUAGAUAUGGAGGCUGUAGGUGUUGUUACUCAGCUGCA
This 637-nucleotide long non-coding RNA is filed under the name Nicotiana tabacum (common tobacco). RNAcentral's name for it is "long non-coding RNA (NTAB_LNC007810)". The record is from RNAcentral. Lineage: Eukaryota; Viridiplantae; Streptophyta; Magnoliopsida; Solanales; Solanaceae.